Molecule: non-coding RNA, 2262 nt
Organism: Salvelinus sp. IW2-2015
Lineage: Eukaryota; Metazoa; Chordata; Actinopteri; Salmoniformes; Salmonidae
Source: RefSeq, a predicted model, not a curated record
GCGCAUUACUAGUAGGAGCCAUUACGUUACACCCCUUGUUUCACUAGGAAUCUAAACAUGGCGAACCGGAAAUGUGUCGCACAUAACGUGUUUCCUUGUGUACAUGCGUAGCGGGAAUUACACAGAUGUUGUGAAAAACCAAGUUUGGUUUCCACAAUUAUUUCGCCUUUUUGAUAGCCAUUUACUAAAUAAUCAAGUCAUUUAUUGUUUUAUUAGCUAAUAUUAGUUGCUGCCAUAGCCAGCUAGUUGGCUACUACUGUAGCUAACGUUAGCAUUGGAUUACUAUUUGCCAACUAGCUGACGUUACUUAGCUGUAGUGUGAAGUCAACUUCAGUUGCCACUUUGCCAAUGUAGCUAACAUGCUGGUGUGUUAAAAGGAGCAAUGUCAGUGGAAUAGGUAGUUUUCCAUCGUAUUGUUAACAUACAGCUACCAUUUUUACUUAGGAAAGUAAGCUAGCCAACUAUAGACAGACAUGGAGAGUCAAACCCAUGCGAGGAAAGCGUCUGCGCCCAUUGUGUCCCAAAUCAACGCAGAAUAUGUCACAGGUGUUUAAGAAGGUGCCAAGCCACUUCCCCUACUUAUUUAAGUGUGUGAUGGAGGACGUGUCUCUGAAGGAACAGACUGUACUGUUGGUCUUCCUCCACCACUGAUUGGUACAGCCUGGAGGUGGAUUUGAUCAGAGAGCAGGUGCAGCAGCUCAUCUUACUGCCCAUGUGGAUGUGUCUCUUACCAAGGCAAGAUGGAGAGGACAUUCCUUUCUGAGCUCAUUAACAAGUUUUUGGUGGUUCUGAUGUCCGUCUCCCCAGCAGCCCUGUACCCAAGGGGAAGGUCCACUCCUGCGUGAGGUUCAUCGAGCUCAUGAUUCACCUGGAGGCCCUGCUCCUAACACGUCGCUGGUUCAACACAGUGCUGGAUGACUCCCACUUGGUGGUGAUGACUCCCACCUGGUGUCCAGCCUCAUGCAGAGAGAGGAGGAAGGACACCUCUUCUGCAAGUUACUGGACAUACUGUUCUACACCGGCAUUGGGAUCAAUGACCAGACAGGCAACGCCCUGACAGAGAAGGAGAUGACCACGCUCCACUAUGACAGAAUCACAUCACUGCAGAAGGCAGCCUUUGCCCAUUUCCCAGAGCUGCAGGACUUUGCCCUGUCCAAUGUGGGAGCCGUGGACACACAAGAAUCCCUCACCAAACAGUUUGGCCAUUUCAGUUUCCGGGUAUGCUGGAUAAGGACCCAUAAGGCCCAUAAGUCCCAACACUCUCCACCGGGUGGCCUCGUACCUAUGUCUGUUACCAGAGCUGGCAGAGGGACAGGACACCACCAUUGAGAAAGAGGUCCUCCUGGAGCUGCUGGUAGGUGCUGUUACGAAACGGGAAGAUGUUGUCCCUAACCGCUGAUAGGGGAUCAGAUAUGUAUUUCAUCGUUCUAAUGCUUAAAAUGUGGGAAUUGGGGAAGUUUCAUCUGAUCCUAGAUCUAUGGUUAGGGAUGAUGGGAAGGAGACAAGGAGAGGAUGCUAAGGUAAUGAAUAUUUACAUGCCCCCCAAGAUGCGCUUAAGAAUGAGAGAACCCCUCAAUUUACGGCUUGGCUAAACCGAAGCGACGUCAGGAUAUGUUGGCUUGCGGAACAAUAACCACCCAGAGAGCAUAGCAUCAUAAUAUGGUUGGCGUGGCUCGUUUAAAAUACAUUCAUUUAUGCUUUUGGAGUGCAUACAGUAUGCAACCCCCCACACACACUCCUCUCCGCCCUUGAAUUUGCCUUUGAAUCCAAUUAGGGCUCAACAUUGGUGAUAGAGAUGGAGUGGGUGAAGUGGAGGAGAGGGAGGUAGAGAGAGACUAAUGAGGAAAGAGCAGCAAGGUUUCUCUUAUCCUAGGAAAAAACACCACUGUUGAUCUGCUUUGCUCUCCAAACCCACCCACCCUUAGUCCCUCCUAUAAACAGGCAUACAGUGUGUUGUUAACAAGUCUCAUCCCUGUAACCCUCCAUCACCAUGCGACCAGCCCAUCCACUGACCUGCUCUGUCCCUACUGCUGUAAUUACCCACUUCAAGUCUUCUCUAGGCCUCCUCUCCUCUGCCCGCCACUGAAGAUAAGCUUUUCCAUAAUUAGCUGAUUAGAUUGUUCCCAGAGCUAUUGUCAUGGGACUCAUUUGCGUGGACCCGGGUUGCCCUGAGCAACCGAAAAUCUCCAGAUUCCACUCUGGUAUUAUGCGUUAUUUGUUUGGUCACCGGUGCCAGAGGCUUGUAGAGAUGUGCUGUGUAGA